This 834-nucleotide ribosomal RNA is filed under the name Ceracis laminicollis. Its description in RNAcentral is "SSU rRNA". It matches the Rfam family "Eukaryotic small subunit ribosomal RNA", at positions 120 to 893 of the family's 1831-position model. The record is from RNAcentral. Lineage: Eukaryota; Metazoa; Arthropoda; Insecta; Coleoptera; Ciidae.
UUAGAUCGUACCCACAUUUACUUGGAUAACUGUGGUAAUUCUAGAGCUAAUACAUGCAAACAGAGUUCCGACCGGAGACGGAAGGAGCGCUUUUAUUAGAUCAAAACCGAUCGGUGGUGGAUUUAUUUCCAUCAUCGUACAAUUUGAUGAAUCUGAAUAACUUUAAGCUGAUCGCACGGUCUAGCACCGGCGACGCAUCUUUCAAAUGUCUGCCUUAUCAACUGUCGAUGGUAGGUUCUGCGCCUACCAUGGUUGUAACGGGUAACGGGGAAUCAGGGUUCGAUUCCGGAGAGGGAGCCUGAGAAACGGCUACCACAUCCAAGGAAGGCAGCAGGCGCGCAAAUUACCCACUCCCGGCACGGGGAGGUAGUGACGAAAAAUAACGAUACGGGACUCAUCCGAGGCCCCGUAAUCGGAAUGAGUACACUCUAAACCCUUUAACGAGGAUCAAUUGGAGGGCAAGUCUGGUGCCAGCAGCCGCGGUAAUUCCAGUUCCAAUAGCGUAUAUUAAAGUUGUUGCGGUUAAAAAGCUCGUAGUCGAAUUUGUGUCUCGCACCGCCGGUUCAUCGUUCGCGGUGUUAACUGGCGUGCCGUGGGACGUCCUGCCGGUGGGCUUAGCCUGAGAGGGCGGCCCAAAUCAAUCCUGCCGCGGUGCUCUUCAUUGAGUGUCGAGGUGGGCCGGCACGUUUACUUUGAACAAAUUAGAGUGCUUAAAGCAGGCUAAAAUUUCGCCUGAAUACUGUGUGCAUGGAAUAAUGGAAUAGGACCUCGGUUCUAUUUUGUUGGUUUUCGGAACCCCGAGGUAAUGAUUAAUAGGAACGGAUGGGGGCAUUC